CAACUUCCUACUGCAGGAGGGGAACAGACCUGGUAGGGAAGGAACUACACAGUGGGGAGGAAAGAUGAACUUGAAUUUGACUUCUUAGUGACUUUUCUCAGGGAAAGUGAGAGGGUAUCACCUAAAGAUGCUGACUUUUCUGCUACUUCUCCUGGAACUAGGCUCUGUGUUCGGUGCUCUCCUCUCUCAAAAGCCAAGCAGGGCCAUCUGUCAACGUGGGACCACCAUGAAGAUUCAGUGUGAGGUCGAUACCGAACUCACCUUAAUGUUCUGGUACAGUCAGCUCCCAGGACAGAGCUUGACACUGAUUGCCACGGCGAAUCAGGGCUCUGAGGCCACUUAUGAAAGUGGAUUUACUAAGGACAAAUUUCCCAUCAGCCGUCCAACCCUAAGGUUCUCAACUCUGACUGUGAACAACACAAGCCCGGAAGACAGCAGCUUUUACUUCUGCAGCGCUGGAGACACAGUGCUGGGCACAGAUCAAAGAUCUGAGCAAAAACUGGAGCUCCCUCCUACCCAGCUCCCACCCAGAUGAGCCUGAAGACCCCAU
Molecule: non-coding RNA, 550 nt
Organism: Equus caballus (horse)
Lineage: Eukaryota; Metazoa; Chordata; Mammalia; Perissodactyla; Equidae
Source: the annotation of a RefSeq genome assembly